GCACCGCUGACGAGUCCCACAAUAGGACGAAAUGGCCGUCCAGUGU
This 46-nucleotide non-coding RNA is filed under the name Schistosoma bovis. Lineage: Eukaryota; Metazoa; Platyhelminthes; Trematoda; Strigeidida; Schistosomatidae. The record is from RNAcentral. RNAcentral also lists the same sequence under 1 other name.